GAAAUGCGAUAAGUAAUGUGAAUUGCAGAAUUCAGUGAAUCAUCGAAUCUUUGAACGCACAUUGCGCCCGGCAGCAAUCUGCCGGGCAUGCCUGUCCGAGCGUCAUUUCUUCCCUCGAGCGCGGUUCGGUCCCUAGGGGCCUGCCGACGCCCGGUGUUGGGGAUCUGCGGGCUUUUACGCCCGCAGGCCCUUAAAUGAAGUGGCGGUCCCGCCGCGGCGCCCCCUGCGUAGUAGUAAAGCACCUCGCAUCGGGUCCCGGCGUAGGCCAGCCGUCGAACCUAUUACUUUUGAUGGUUUGACCUCGGAUCAGGUAGGGAUACCCGCUGAACUUAA
RNAcentral lists this unclassified non-coding RNA (333 nucleotides) under uncultured Microascus. Its description in RNAcentral is "sequence contains ITS1". The stretch from base 1 to 105 matches the Rfam family "5.8S ribosomal RNA", at positions 50 to 154 of the family's 154-position model. Lineage: Eukaryota; Fungi; Ascomycota; Sordariomycetes; Microascales; Microascaceae. The record is from RNAcentral.